This is a long non-coding RNA of Dermacentor albipictus, 1347 nucleotides long. RefSeq lists it as uncharacterized. The record is from RefSeq and is a predicted model, not a curated record. NCBI's taxonomy places the organism in Eukaryota, Metazoa, Arthropoda, Arachnida, Ixodida, Ixodidae.
AUCCAGGCAGACCAAGGGUCAGUAUUCACCAACUCAAUGACUUCCACAUUCUUACAAAAGUAUGGACUAAAGUUGAUACACAGUUCUGUUUAUCACGCUCAGUCAAAUAGUGUAGGGAGGUGGCAUUCUGUUACGAGCACAAGGAGGACUGGGAGAAUUGUCUUUCGGCUACUAUGUUUGCUUUGCGAAUGGUUCCUGAUGAGGCUACAGGGUUCUCACAAGCAGAACUAUUGUGUGAGAGGACACUCCGUUCCCCACUGAGAAUGUUGAGAGAUGUAGGAGGAAAGAGGAGAGAGUCAAACAGUGGUAGAGUAUGUGUUUAAUCUGAUGGAAUGGCCAAAUGCAACUCAAGAACUAGUUGAAAAGAACAUUGGCAUGGCACAAAAGAACGCCAAGCUCUAUUAUGACAGGAAUGCUAGGCUUCGAACGUUUAAUGCUGGGGACAGGCAAUGAUCCUCAGACCUUCAAGAAAGAACAAGCUUGAAGUUCACUGGGACGGACCUAUUAAAGUGUUGUACAAUCUUUCAGAUACUAUGCCCUGAAAGUGCCCGGUCACAGGAAGGAGGUGAGAAUGUACUACUGCAAUUUUAUCAAGCUGUACCUGGAGCAGAGCGGAGUCGUGAACUUUACCAUCAAAGAGCUGGACGACAUUUAUACAGUGUUUAAUGAGUGUACGACGACCUCCAACUCUGAAAUCAGCCUGGAAGAAGUUGUGGAACACUCGCCAUUCUCUUCCUGCCCAGUGGCCAGUCAAGAUUUUCGGGGCCAUGGAGAAGCUGUUACGAUUGGCCAGCAGGGGUAGUGAGCUUCUAACCUCUCCUAGCUCGCCGCGACAAAUCACUUGGUGAAGCCAACAAAUGUAAGGCUAGACAAGUUUUGCGGGCCGAGUAUUGUUAGCUGGUUCGCUGUCACCUUCACAGACCAAUUAGAGCAAGAAAACUCCUGGAAAACAGUUUCCUAUGGUGCUCCCCCACGAACUCUAGUAAUCGUCACUGUCGUUUGACACAUGCAGCAGUUAACUGCGGAGUCAACUCUGGAAUCAAGACUCACGAGCUUGAGUCAAGUAUGACAACCCCUGUCUACGAGGCCCCACUCCAUUCAGUGUGUUCACUGAAACGAAAGUGCGGGAGUGAGUGUGUGAACCUUUGCCCUCAAAGGCGGGUUCUCCGACGACUCUGAACGCUCCGAUUGGAUGAAGGUUGGACGGCAGGGAGGACAGAGGGAGGUUUUAAGCAGCUGUUUUUGCUCUUCGGUGUGCUUCAUCUUCAGUCAUGCUAGACCGAUGAAAUGUAACAUUCUUCACCUUUCAUGUAAAUAUUGUAAAUAAACGAAUUUCUCCUUGUUCUA